GCCGGGCGUGGUGGUGCGUGCCUGUAAUCCCAGCUACUCGGGAGGCUGAGGCAGGAGAAUCAUUUGAAGCCAGGAAUCAGAGGUUGCAGUGAGCCAAGAUUGAGCCACUGCACUCUAGCCUGGCGACAGAAUGAGACUCUGUCUCAA
Molecule: non-coding RNA, 147 nt
Filed under: Nomascus leucogenys (northern white-cheeked gibbon)
Lineage: Eukaryota; Metazoa; Chordata; Mammalia; Primates; Hylobatidae
Source: Rfam by way of RNAcentral